CUACGGGAGGCAGCAGUGGGGAAUUUUGGACAAUGGGCGCAAGCCUGACGACGCAACGCCGCGUGGAGGAUGAAGAUCUUCGGGUCGUAAACUCCUGUCGAGCGGGAAGAACGUUUCGCGGAUGAAUAAGCCGCGGAAGUGACGGUACCGCUAAAGGAAGCCCCGGCUAACUCCGUGCCAGGCACCCGCGAGUA
Molecule: ribosomal RNA, 194 nt
Filed under: uncultured bacterium
Lineage: Bacteria
Description: partial 16S ribosomal RNA
Rfam family: Bacterial small subunit ribosomal RNA
Source: RNAcentral